RNAcentral lists this long non-coding RNA (475 nucleotides) under Phasianus colchicus (ring-necked pheasant). RNAcentral describes it as "lncRNA (ENSPCLG00000004802.1)". The record is from RNAcentral. Lineage: Eukaryota; Metazoa; Chordata; Aves; Galliformes; Phasianidae.
ACCAGCUGCUGCUAUGAGCAGGUUGAGUAUGAGGUUGAGUCCUCAGUGUCUCUGCUGAAAUUAUUGCUGUCUUUCACAGCUUUAAUGCUUCUAUUGCAGAGUCCCGGAGGAGCCUGCCUCAAAGAGAAACUUGAGAAUGGAUUUUGCUGUAGCCUUGGUGGACUUCUCCCCCUGAAACCAUGGCCAGGAAUGCUGACUCUUUCUGAAGUAAAGUUUCUGAAGGGUGUUCUUGUGGCUGACAUUCUAAUUUAUGCUUCUGAAGAAGGCAUGUGGGAAUUAAGUGACAUGAUGGAAAGUUUAAGUGUAAUCAACAGCAAGGAUAAAUGUUUGUGAUUUCUGCAUAUUAAUCUGGCUUUGAUUUGAGUUUCUGCAGCAUCUGUGACAAAACCAUAGGUUAUGGAUUUGGAAGCAUAAAUUUUGUUUCUCUGACAACAUAUAUUUUAGAUACUUAAUCGAUAAACUGAUUGAAUUUAAC